CGUGGCUUGUCGAAGUUUCCAACAGAUGUGAGCGUAUCCAUUGGAUUAUUCGUUGUCCGGUUUAUUUGCUGACUCAUGAGGCACUCGCCCACCAGUUGUUCGACGAAAUUCCUAAACCAAAAAAUUUCGCCCACAGAGAUUUAGAUUGAGUCUACCUGAAAUGUGGGAUAAAUUUCGUAUUUUGCGUGAGGUUUCGCGGAGUUUAGAGAAUCAGUGGCGCACUGGCGCGUGAUGCGUUUUCUUCUACUCUUUUGGCUCAUUCUUUUUGGAUCUGGCUUCUUACAAAAGAUGACAGUCCCCCCUACAUGAAGUUUACUGAGAGGACGUGACAACGCUCAUUUUUGGUGAAGCUGGCUGCGUACAAAACAUUAUGGUCCCCCCUUUAUGAAGGUUACUGGUUAAAAAGAUUUGUUGAUUGUACGUGAAGACCGAUCAUACUUUGUGAAAUCGGCAGCUUACAAAAUGUGAAGGGCCGACCUAUAUGUAGUUACUCGUUAAAACAGUGCACAAUCUCUGGCAGCAUACAAAACGUCUGUCUUUAUUAAUUAAAAAGACAUAUAGAUUGGACGCGGAACUGUGGAAAUUCACUCUUGAUGGUUUGUUUAUCUUUUGAGGGCUCUAUUCGGGAUUAAGCAGGCAAGAUGCAGUAAAUGCCCACUGUUAUCUUUGAAGAAUAUGAACAAAAGGACAACCUUAUAUGGAAAACAUUUCCUAGCUGGAACUUAAAUAGUUCGCUUACAAAGUUAAUGGGGCAUGAAAUGGCAGAAUUCAGCUAGCGAUGUUCUGUGUUCAAUCCAUUAUCCAAAAAAGUGUUUUCUAGCUCCACGACGUGAAAGCCAAGAUGGGAGGUGUUUUCUAUUUGAAGAGAUCAAAGUUAUUAGACGUGGAAGCCGAACUUUGGUGUUACACCAGUUCCCUUAGUUAGGUUUCAACGGUUGCUCUUGAAACUUGAAGAUGACAAUGUCUCCAAUCAUAGCUACAUUUGUUGGCGAACUUCUCUGGCCUCCAUUGACCCUGAACCACAUACGUUAGGUACCAAGAAGGUCUAUCGUGUGACAUCUUUCAGGUUCUUAAGGAGCUCGGUAUAGAGAGGCAAGAAAGCAAGAAUCAUUGAGGAACCAUACCCAAUACUGAUCUUUAGGGUGCCAACUCUAGAAAAGGACAUUUAAACUUAUUUUUGUUGUAGCCUCGGUAAUUGUAUAAGUUAUACACAAAGUAAAUAAAAUGCUGAUUGUACUAGCUAAUAAGACCAUUCCUUAGGAAGAAAGAUUUUUCUGGAAUGAGAGGAGAUGAUGGGGCAUGGCUUGUUGUUGAGUUUCUCUUGUGAGCUACUCACCGGUCUCUCAGGAAGAAACACUCCAGUGCCACGUGGCUUAACUCGUGCUGCACCUUUAUCAUCACCAUUUGGCCUCACCAUGGAACCCUUGUGGUUCAAUGCAUACCACAUUCUUGGCUUCCGAUCAUAGUAGCUACCUACUCGAUUACUCUACAGAUUAUGUAACAAAGAUUGAUUAAUUAUACAUCCUUAGCAUUAAUAACAAUAGUUCAUGAUGUUAUAAAAGAAUAGAAACCUGUGGAAAUGGACGAUCAAGAAAGAGUUCAUUAAAAAGAUUUGAAGGUAAGAGAAACAAUCCUUCCUCCACACCAACCACGAUAUCUCCUUUGCAAGACA
This 1672-nucleotide long non-coding RNA is filed under the name Arabidopsis thaliana (thale cress). RNAcentral describes it as "ncRNA (AT1G28715)". Lineage: Eukaryota; Viridiplantae; Streptophyta; Magnoliopsida; Brassicales; Brassicaceae. The record is from RNAcentral.